This 421-nucleotide ribosomal RNA is filed under the name uncultured bacterium. RNAcentral's name for it is "bacterial SSU rRNA". It matches the Rfam family "Bacterial small subunit ribosomal RNA", at positions 355 to 773 of the family's 1533-position model. The record is from RNAcentral.
UGAGGAAUAUUGGACAAUGGGCGCAAGCCUGAUCCAGCCAUGCCGCGUGCAGGAAGAAGCAUCUAUGGUGUGUAAACUGCUUUUGUACGGGAAGAAACACUCCUUCGUGAAGGAGCUUGACGGUACCGUAAGAAUAAGGAUCGGCUAACUCCGUGCCAGCAGCCGCGGUAAUACGGAGGAUCCAAGCGUUAUCCGGAAUCAUUGGGUUUAAAGGGUCCGUAGGCGGUUUAGUAAGUCAGUGGUGAAAGCCCAUCGCUCAACGAUGGAACGGCCAUUGACACUGCUAGACUUGAAUUAUUAGGAAGUAACUAGAAUAUGUUGUGUAGCGGUGAAAUGCUGAGAUAUGACAUGGAAUACCAAGUGCGAAGGCAGGUUACUACUAAUGGAUUGACGGUGAUGGACGAAAGCGUGGGGAGCGAAC